CCUACGGGGGGCACCAGUAGGGAAUCUUCGGCAAUGGACGAAAGUCCGACCGAGCAACGCCGCGUGAGUGAAGAAGGUUUUCGGAUCGUAAAACUCUGUUGGUAGAGAAGAACGUUGGUGAGAGUGGAAAGCUCAUCAAGUGACGGUAACUACCCAGAAAGGGACGGCUAACUACGUGCCAGCGGCCGCGGUAAUACGUAGGUCCCGAGCGUUGUCCGGAUUUAUUGGGCGUAAAGCGAGCGCAGGUGGUUUAUUAAGUCUGGUGUAAAAGGCAGUGGCUCAACCAUUGUAUGCAUUGGAAACUGGUAGACUUGAGUGCAGGAGAGGAGAGUGGAAUUCCAUGUGUAGCGGUGAAAUGCGUAGAUAUAUGGUGGAACACCGGUGGCGAAAGCGGCUCUCUGGCCUGUAACUGACACUGAGGCUCGAAAGCGUGGGGAGCAAACAGGAUUAGAUACCCGGGUAGUC
RNAcentral lists this ribosomal RNA (465 nucleotides) under uncultured bacterium. RNAcentral's name for it is "bacterial SSU rRNA". It matches the Rfam family "Bacterial small subunit ribosomal RNA", at positions 338 to 795 of the family's 1533-position model. The record is from RNAcentral.